GAUGAACGCUGGCGGCGUGCCUAACACAUGCAAGUCGAACGAAGCUUGACGGAUGAUUUCUUCGGAAUGAAACCUGAUAUGACUUAGUGGCGGACGGGUGAGUAACACGUGAGCAACCUGCCUUUCAGAGGGGGAUAACGGCUGGAAACGGUCGCUAAUACCGCAUGAUGUGUUCGGAUGGCAUCAUCUGAACAUCAAAGAUUUAUCGCUGAAAGAUGGGCUCGCGUCUGAUUAGAUAGUUGGUGGGGUAACGGCCUACCAAGUCUACGAUCAGUAGCCGGACUGAGAGGUUGAACGGCCACAUUGGGACUGAGAUACGGCCCAGACUCCUACGGGAGGCAGCAGUGGGGAAUAUUGCACAAUGGGGGAAACCCUGAUGCAGCAACGCCGCGUGAAGGAUGACGGUUUUCGGAUUGUAAACUUCUUUUCUUAGUGACGAAGACAGUGACGGUAGCUAAGGAAUAAGCAUCG
This 471-nucleotide ribosomal RNA is filed under the name uncultured bacterium. RNAcentral's name for it is "bacterial SSU rRNA". It matches the Rfam family "Bacterial small subunit ribosomal RNA", at positions 28 to 495 of the family's 1533-position model. The record is from RNAcentral.